GACGAACGCUGGCGGCGUGCUUAACACAUGCAAGUCGAACGGAAAGGCCCUGCUUUUGUAGGGUGCUCGAGUGGCGAACGGGUGAGUAACACGUGAGUAACCUGCCCUUGACUUUGGGAUAACUUCAGGAAACUGGGGCUAAUACCGGAUAGGAGCUCCUGCUGCAUGGUGGGGGUUGGAAAGUUUCGGCGGUUGGGGAUGGACUCGCGGCUUAUCAGCUUGUUGGUGGGGUAGUGGCUUACCAAGGCUUUGACGGGUAGCCGGCCUGAGAGGGUGACCGGCCACAUUGGGACUGAGAUACGGCCCAGACUCCUACGGGAGGCAGCAGUGGGGAAUAUGGCACAAUGGGCGGAAGCCUGAUGCAGCAACGCCGCGUGCGGGAUGACGGCCUUCGGGUUGUAAACCGCUGUCGCCUGUGACGAAGCGUGAGUGACGGUAAUGGGUAAAGAAGCACCGGCUAACUACGUG
This 468-nucleotide ribosomal RNA is filed under the name uncultured bacterium. Its description in RNAcentral is "partial 16S ribosomal RNA". It matches the Rfam family "Bacterial small subunit ribosomal RNA", at positions 28 to 507 of the family's 1533-position model. The record is from RNAcentral.